This 64-nucleotide ribosomal RNA is filed under the name uncultured organism. Its description in RNAcentral is "partial 16S ribosomal RNA". The record is from RNAcentral.
AGCCCUUGACAUGUCCCGUAUGGGUGGGGGAGACCUCAUUCUUCAGUUCGGCUGGCGGGAACAC